Molecule: small RNA, 67 nt
Filed under: Microvirga massiliensis
Lineage: Bacteria; Pseudomonadati; Pseudomonadota; Alphaproteobacteria; Hyphomicrobiales; Methylobacteriaceae
Description: Makes More Granules Regulator RNA (mmgR)
Rfam family: Makes More Granules Regulator RNA (mmgR)
About the family: SuhB later renamed mmgR (makes more granules regulator) was a putative non-coding RNA found multiple times in the Agrobacterium tumefaciens genome and related alpha-proteobacteria. Other non-coding RNAs uncovered in the same analysis include: speF, ybhL, metA, and serC. Several studies inSinorhizobium meliloti showed that suhB element is indeed a non-coding RNA:firstly it was detected on Northern blot and called Sm8RNA, secondly in an RNAseq study referred to as SmelC689.
Source: RNAcentral
UGUGCCCUUCUUGGGCGUUUCCUCCCUAAACUUCGGGCCGCUCAUCAGGGCGGCCUUUUUUCUGGCC